GACGAACGCUGGCGGCGUGCUUAACACAUGCAAGUCGAACGGAAAGGCCCUGCUUUUGUGGGGUGCUCGAGUGGCGAACGGGUGAGUAACACGUGAGUAACCUGCCCUUGACUUUGGGAUAACUUCAGGAGACUGGGGCUAAUACCGGAUAGGAGCUCCUGCUGCAUGGUGGGGGUUGGAAAGUUUCGGCGGUUGGGGAUGGACUCGCGGCUUAUCAGCUUGUUGGUGGGGUAGUGGCUUACCAAGGCUUUGACGGGUAGCCGGCCUGAGAGGGUGACCGGCCACAUUGGGACUGAGAGACGGCCCAGACUCCUACGGGAGGCAGCAGUGGGGAAUAUUGCACAAUGGGCGGAAGCCUGAUGCAGCAACGCCGCGUGCGGGAUGACGGCCUUCGGGUUGUAAACCGCUUUCGCCUGUGACGAAGCGUGAGUGACGGUAAUGGGUAAAGAAGCACCGGCUAACUACGUG
This 468-nucleotide ribosomal RNA is filed under the name uncultured bacterium. Its description in RNAcentral is "partial 16S ribosomal RNA". It matches the Rfam family "Bacterial small subunit ribosomal RNA", at positions 28 to 507 of the family's 1533-position model. The record is from RNAcentral.